ACUUGGCGACAUGGCGAGGAGCUGGGAAGACGGACACCGGAACGUGAGGAACACGAGUAGUUCAAGAAAAUGCUGAAGAUGCGCUUGGCUGGGAAGCUAGGAUAGGCUGACGAAGUCAGACUUAGUGUGGGAACCUGGCUGGGAAAGGGUUUCUUCUGUCCAUAAAAGCUACUCCAAUGGCUGUGGGAGACUUAAUUCCAAUUCCAGGUGAUACAGCCGUCAGUCUCCCACUAGCUGUAGGAUGGUGUGCUGCAGUUCACAGGGCAAAGGAGAUAGAAGUGGAUGAAAUGACAGAGUAUUUUUUUAAUUGUACUCUGAUUAAUGCCAAAAGUGUUCAAUCACUAUGUGUGGGGAAGUUUCCUGGUACAAAGGAAAAAAAAACAGGUUGUUCAUACACUUGGCUGUGUUAGUAAGUGACCUAAGUCAAUGUUAGUCUACCACUGUACGUCUGGUAACCUCAAUCCCUGCAACCGGAGCAAAAUGUGAUUCCAGGUCUUGGCAACCUUUGAAAUUCCAAUUCCAUUUGCAAGAGCUUUGAGGAGGCCAUAUGCUGAUUUCACCACAAGCAACUUCACAACCCAGUACUGGAAUGCCAUCAGCCAGCAGGCCCCUGCCAUUAUCUGUGACUUCUAUCUGUGGCUCAUUGGAAGGAAACCCAGGUGAGAAGCUGAGUCAAUGGCUUUGAGAAUGUCACUGCAUAUGGGAGAUUGAGGCCCCAAAGUCUUUAGGGCUUCCUUCAGCCAAAGAUUAAAGGAGACAACUGAAUCUGACCCAUAUAUACAGAUUGAACACACCUACUCUGAAAAUCCAAAAUCUGAAAUUCUCCAAAAUCCAAAAAGUUUUGAGUGCUGACAUGAUGCCACAAGUGGAAAAUUCCACACAUCUUACCUCAUGUGAUGGGUCACAGUCAAAACACAUUCAAAACUUUGUUUCAUGCAUAAAAUUAUUUAAAAUAUUGUAUAAGAUUACCUUCAGGUUAUGUGUAUGUGGCUAAGUGUGUAUGAAAUGUAAGUGAAUUUUGUGUUUAGAUAUGGGUCCCAUUCCCAAGAUACCUCAUUGCAUUGAAGCAAAUAUUCCAAAAUCUGAAAACAGUUGAAACCCAACACACUUCUGACCCAAGCAUUUCAGAUAAAGGAUACUCAAUCUGUGUAAGUUUUGAACAAACAAAGCAGUCAUAGUGAGAAGCCACAGAAGCCUCCUACAUUAAAAAUACUCCAGCAUAAUAAAGGAAGGUAAAUGUUAAAGCGCCUGCUUGAUGAAUUCAGCAAGUGAUCAUUCACACAAAAAGAAAACCAACUGAGACGCUGUCACUAGGGUUUUUCAAAUAGGUAGAGAAUCUUAAAUAUCCAGUAAUGAUGACAACCUCACUUACUGGGAGCUUACUCGUGGGGCUAAGGAGGAUGCGUGAUGAUCCCAUUUUUAUUGUCACAGCUACCGAAGGAAGAUACCCUCAUCAACCCAAUUUUACAAAUGGAGAAAUAGAAGCUCAGGGAAGAAUCUGAAGUAGUCUCAAAGGAAGUGACAGGAAGGAUGUGGAGAAAGCUGAGUGUCAAAGUCAGUAUUCAGGACCGGCUUUACUGCUACUUAGAGAUGAAUGAAGAAAUCAGAGGGAACGCAGUGUGCUGAUGCUAAAGCGGCUGUCACCACCCAGCUGUGUGACAUAGGACAUCUUCUUUCUCUGUCUCACUUGAAUAAUAUGAUGUGUCAGAGGAGACAUGAUUGUAAUUGCCUAAAGCAAUUCUUGUGAUCAAGAAUCAGAAGCAUGAACAGUAUUGCCCUCUGUGUUAGCCCCUUUAUAAGGGAGGAAGUCAUCUUCAGCAUGCUGAAUUGUCAUCUUUCUUAGCAGUGCAAAUGACUAAAACUUAGCCAAUGUAGAGUUUGUCCAAAUUUGGAGCUCAUAACUCAGUUCUUGAGCAAAGUGAAAAGAAAACAUUGUGAUUAUGGGGAAAAUAUUUGUACGGGACUUAUCAAAUAAAGAUAGGAAAAGAAGAAAACUCAAAUAUUAUAGGCAGAAAUGCUAAAGGUUUUAAAAUAUGUCAGGAUUGGAAGAAGGCAUGGAUAAAGAACAAAGUUCAGUUAGGAAAGAGAAACACAGAAGGAAGAGACACAAUAAAAGUCAUUAUGUAUUCUGUGAGAAGUCAGACAGUAAGAUUUGUGGGAAAUGGGUUGGUUUGUUGUAUGGUAUGUAUUUUAGCAAUAAUCUUUAUGGCAGAGAAAGCUAAAAUCCUUUAGCUUGCGUGAAUGAUCACUUGCUGAAUUCCUCAAGGUAGGCAUGAUGAAGGAGGGUUUAGAGGAGACACAGACACAAUGAACUGACCUAGAUAGAAAGCCUUAGUAUACUCAGCUAGGAAUAGUGAUUCUGAGGGCACACUGUGACAUGAUUAUGUCAUUACAUGUAUGGUAGUGAUGGGGAUGAUAGAAGGAAGAACUUAUGGCAUAUUUUCACCCCCACAAAAGUCAGUUAAAUAUUGGGACACUAACCAUCCAGGUCAAGAAAAGUCACAUGCCAUAGCCAUGGUAUUGCACAUCAUUCAUCUUGCAUUCUUUGAGAAUAAGAAGAUCAGUAAAUAGUUCAGAAGUGGGAAGCUUUGUCCAGGCCUGUGUGUGAACCCAAUGUUUUGUUUAGAAAUAGAACAAGUAAGUUCAUUGCUAUAGCAUAACACAAAAUUUGCAUAAGUGGUGGUCAGCAAAU
Molecule: long non-coding RNA, 2692 nt
Filed under: Homo sapiens (human)
Lineage: Eukaryota; Metazoa; Chordata; Mammalia; Primates; Hominidae
Description: novel transcript
Source: RNAcentral